UAGGGAAUCUUCCGCAAUGGACGCAAGUCUGACGGAGCAACGCCGCGUGAGUGAAGAAGGAUUUCGGUUCGUAAAACUCUGUUGUUAGAGAAGAACAGCGCAUAGAGUAACUGUUAUGCGUGUGACGGUAUCUAACCAGAAAGCCACGGCUAACUACGUUCCAGCAGCCGCGGUAAUACGUAGGUGGCAAGCGUUGUCCGGAUUUAUUGGGCGUAAAGCGAGCGCAGGCGGUCAAUUAAGUCUGAUGUGAAAGCCCCCGGCUCAACCGGGGAGGGUCAUUGGAAACUGGUUGACUUGAGUGCAGAAGAGGAGAGUGGAAUUCCAUGUGUAACGGUGAAAUGCGUAGAUAUAUGGAGGAACACCAGUGGCGAAGGCGACUCUCUGGUCUGUAACUGACGCUGAGGUUCGAAAGCGUGGGUAGCAAACAGG
Molecule: ribosomal RNA, 429 nt
Filed under: Bacteroidota bacterium
Lineage: Bacteria; Pseudomonadati; Bacteroidota
Description: Bacteroidetes bacterium partial 16S ribosomal RNA
Rfam family: Bacterial small subunit ribosomal RNA
Source: RNAcentral